RNAcentral lists this ribosomal RNA (440 nucleotides) under uncultured bacterium. RNAcentral's name for it is "bacterial SSU rRNA". It matches the Rfam family "Bacterial small subunit ribosomal RNA", at positions 338 to 795 of the family's 1533-position model. The record is from RNAcentral.
CCUACGGGGGGCAGCAGUGGGGAAUAUUGCACAAUGGGGGAAACCCUGAUGCAGCAACGCCGCGUGAGCGAAGAAGGCCUUCGGGUCGUAAAGCUCUGUCCUAAGGGAAGAAUUUUGACGGUACCUUUGGAGGAAGCCCCGGCUAACUACGUGCCAGCAGCCGCGGUAAUACGUAGGGGGCGAGCGUUAUCCGGAAUCACUGGGUGUAAAGGGUGCGUAGGCGGUAGGGCAAGUCAGAGGUGAAAGGCUACGGCUCAACCGUAGUAAGCCUUUGAAACUGUAGGGCUUGAGUGCAGGAGAGGAGAGUGGAAUUCCCAGUGUAGCGGUGAAAUGCGUAGAUAUUGGGAGGAACACCAGUUGCGAAGGCGGCUCUCUGGACUGUAACUGACGCUGAGGCACGAAAGCGUGGGGAGCGAACAGGAUUAGAUACCCCAGUAGUC